This 497-nucleotide ribosomal RNA is filed under the name uncultured bacterium. Its description in RNAcentral is "partial 16S ribosomal RNA". It matches the Rfam family "Bacterial small subunit ribosomal RNA", at positions 28 to 507 of the family's 1533-position model. The record is from RNAcentral.
GAUGAACGCUGGCGGCGUGCCUAAUACAUGCAAGUCGAGCGAACAGACGAGGAGCUUGCUCCUCUGACGUUAGCGGCGGACGGGUGAGUAACACGUGGAUAACCUACCUAUAAGACUGGGAUACCUUCGGGAAACCGGAGCUAAUACCGGUAAAUAUGUUGAACGGCAUGGUUCAAUAGUGAAAGCGGGUUUUGCUGUAACUUAUAGAUGGAUCCGCGCCGCAUUAGCUAGUUGGUAAGGUAACGGCUUACCAAGGCGACGAUGCGUAGCCGACCUGAGAGGGUGAUCGGCCACACUGGAACUGAGACACGGUCCAGACUCCUACGGGAGGCAGCAGUAGGGAAUCUUCCGCAAUGGGCGAAAGCCUGACGGAGCAACGCCGCGUGAGUGAUGAAGGUCUUCGGAUCGUAAAACUCUGUUAUUAGGGAAGAACAAAUGUGUAAGUAACUAUGCACGUCUUGACGGUACCUAAUCAGAAAGCCACGGCUAACUACGUG